Molecule: ribosomal RNA, 143 nt
Filed under: uncultured fungus
Lineage: Eukaryota; Fungi
Description: partial 28S ribosomal RNA
Rfam family: Eukaryotic large subunit ribosomal RNA
Source: RNAcentral
UUGAUCUCAAAUCAGGUAGGACUACCCGCUGAACUUAAGCAUAUCAAUAAGCGGAGGAAAAGAAACUAACAAGGAUUCCCCUAGUAACUGCGAGUGAAGCGGGAAGAGCUCAAAUUUAAAAUCUGGCGUGCCUCUGGCCGUCC